Molecule: non-coding RNA, 322 nt
Organism: Salvelinus sp. IW2-2015
Lineage: Eukaryota; Metazoa; Chordata; Actinopteri; Salmoniformes; Salmonidae
Source: RefSeq, a predicted model, not a curated record
CAGUCAUGUUCUCACUCCCCUAGCCCCGGCAGAAGGAUGUCUGUUCCCUCCAUCCCUCCUUCCUCCCUGCUCUACCUCCUCCCUCCUGGCAUCCCCCUUCACAGAACGACCUGUGGCAGCUACCUGGAAGACUCCGUAUCAACCCGUCUCUGUGGGAUAAGAGGAUGUGGUCCACUGGCUGCACUGGGCUCAGAGAAUAUUCUCUUCCUCAGAAACUGAGAGAGGACGGUUUGAAGAUGAACGGCAGAGCUCUCUUGCCUCCUCACAAGGAAGACUUCAGACGUCGCUGUCCCGACUCAGGUGAUGUACUGUACGAGCUCCU